RNAcentral lists this long non-coding RNA (925 nucleotides) under Homo sapiens (human). RNAcentral describes it as "HSALNT0399812". The record is from RNAcentral. Lineage: Eukaryota; Metazoa; Chordata; Mammalia; Primates; Hominidae.
CUCAGGACCCGACGCGUGGUUUGCUCCUGGAUGGCCUCAUAAUGGGGGCUGGUUGCCAGGGGAACCAACCUUGUGAUUAGAAGGUUGAAACUUUCAGCCCCACCCCUGACCUCCAGGGAGCCGGGAGAGGCUGAAGGCUGAGUUGAUCACCCGUGGCCAAUGAUUUAAUCAGUCAUGGCUAGCUGUCCAAACAACUAGUGGCCACCAGGGCACCCGCAGUCUCCUCCCUUGUGUCCCUGAAGCUCAUCAAGAGUUGCUCAACAGCCCGCAGAACCACGUGCCUGUCUCAUUGUCCUUAUCUUCCCAUUUCAAGGAAGUCAUCUCCAUUUGGCUGUCUGGAGGGCUCAGUGAGGUGAUGUGACUAAAGCACAGUAUCUGGCUCCUGAAAAGAACUUCAAAAAUAGUAGCCUGUGCCUGAGACUGAGGCAGACCUGGAUCUUUGGGCCCUAACAGAACUACUGGAGGACAAAUUCCCAAAGGAAUCACUAAAUGAUGGCUAUUUCAUUUCAUCAAGACUGAGGUAUCAUGUCAACCCAUUUCUAGGACAAAACUUCAGCUGCUGUCUUGGUCUGCUUUAUCCACACCUGACCUGUCACUUACAAUGUACAUUCUGAGGACCAACAUCUCCAAACAUUGUCCUGGGGCAGGAGCAUCCUCCUUACUAGAAAGCUCAGGGCCUCUGAAUCAGAAUCUGCAUCACAACAAGAUCCCCAGAAUACUGAAGUUUGAGAAGCUCUGGUCUACAUUAGAUGGUUUUCUAAUGGCUCCCUGUUGCCACUGAUAAUAAAGCUCUCUUGUCUUUACCAGAGCUACAAGUCAUCCCUGACUCUCUUCGUCUUCCUUAUUGCCCUUAAUUUCUUCAUUCUUUAGGAUCUGCCCUCAGUGCUACUGGUUUUAUUGUCAUUAAAAAAUAUUAACGCAAUGC